UACAGUGGCGUACGGGUGAGUAACACGUGGAUGAUCUACCCUGGAGUGGGGAAUAACGCUGGGAAACCGGCGCUAAUACCGCAUAAUCCCGAGAGGGCAAAGGAAGCAAUUUCGCUUCAGGAGGAGUCCGCGGCCGAUUAGCUUGUUGGCAGGGUAAAAGCCUACCAAGGCAACGAUCGGUAGCCGGCCUGAGAGGGCACACGGCCACACUGGCACUGAAACACGGGCCAG
This 231-nucleotide ribosomal RNA is filed under the name uncultured bacterium. RNAcentral describes it as "partial 16S ribosomal RNA". It matches the Rfam family "Bacterial small subunit ribosomal RNA", at positions 91 to 334 of the family's 1533-position model. The record is from RNAcentral.